CUAAUACAACGUUUGCUAACUCGUUCGCUAACUUGUUGGAUGGGUAUUGGAAGUUACGUUACACUGGUUGUCAUUUGAAAGCAAUAUAUGACCCCUAUGAAUAACGCUAAGUACUGCGUUUAUUAUCGAUGAUUUGAUAAUAAUGGACACGCCCUUUCCAUGUGAUUCUGAUGUACCUCUGCACCGGAUGCAGCUGAUGGUGGAUUAAAGUUACCCUGGACAGACUCUGAAGUCCCACCGUGGAGACACCCAGCUGCUACCUGCCAGUCAAUGCUUUAACCAUGCCCCUAGUGUAAACUAAACACCGGAGGCUGGAUAAUUCCACUCCUGUGACACCUCCCAGUCCCCUGCAUUAGCCCUUCUCUGACUGACCACCAUGCCCCUAAUCGUGGAUGCAGUUUGGGCUGUUUGGAGCAUCGGGGCAGGGGUGUAUGACUACUUCCACACCAGUGCCAUGGAGGAACGCAUCGGCAACCUGGAAAGUGCCCUCUCCAUCCACCAAUGUGUCAUAGCAGUCCUGUCCGCAGGUCUUGUCUUGCUUAUGACCUACAUACUCUGGAGAAAACACUAAAACCGUUAUUACAACCAUGUUCCUGUUCAGUCUUGGCGAUGCAUGCACUGGAAAUAAGUUUCUCCUAGGUUCAGAUCUAGGAUAAUUUCCCUCUGCCCCAAUCCCAAUGUUAUUCACUAGUGGAGGAAAUGCAAAACGGACCCAAGAUGAGCAUCUAGAGGGAACUUCACUCAAGUCUAGGGGAGAUAAGAUCCUCUGCACCCAAAGACUGCACUACAGCUACUUACCAGACUUACAGCCAGUCCCAAAGCCAUCACAGAUGUAACAAUAGUAACAAACUUAUUUCAGGUAGAACUUUUCUCCAGUAGGGCUCAACAGUUCACUACAGAGGCACAGCUACUGGUAACUAUGCUGUUAGAAUGAGAGGAUGAGAACGUCUGGGAAUUGAAGAUAAUUAGAGAAGAAUUACAGCUCCUCUGGUCAUCUCAAGGCCCAGCUCUAAAGACAUGUUAUCUCCAAGUUUGGCAUGGCAAAGAGUGGACAAUAUGCCUCAAGUUGAUUUGGGGACCGGCUGUCUUGACUGGCUGUGAUCAGACUACACUGUAGUUUGCCUCUGUCCAGAUCCACUUUUAGCCUGGUUUCCGAUCGGUUUGUGCUAUCUUCUUUCCAACAGAUCAGAUACCAGGUCAAUUAACUCUACUUGUUCCAUUUACUUGAUCAUCCAUUUAAUGUGACUGUCCUUGGUACUGCAGAAAGGGAUAUGUAAAAUGUCUCCCGUCCAAGUCCCUGUAGAGUAAAAAUAAAUGACAUGUCGAGACUAAACAUUUUGGGCCACUUUCCCGACACAGAUUAUGCUUUGUUCUAUUUAAAAAAAACAUUGUCACUUUGAGAGCCUCCAUUAAAAGUGCAUUUUAAUUGAGGACUUAAACUGCGCACUGGAAAGGGACCCUAUUAGUGGAAGAUGAAACCUAAGUUGUUGUCUAAGUUUUUAACUUGUAUUAGUUCAUGUCACUGACACUGAUGGUUUUCCCUCUACUUGUGCUCAAUACUGUAAUACGUUUUGAAAUCAUGCUAUUUUUAUAAUUGCUGUAUCUGUUAGCUUUGUCUUGCUGACUUAUCAUGGCCAUUGUCUACUCAUGUGCUGCUGUUUGUUGCUGAAUCACUACCAGUUUGAAUUAUCUGUGGGAAAAAGUUAGUU
Long non-coding RNA from Esox lucius (northern pike), 1709 nucleotides. RefSeq lists it as uncharacterized. The record is from RefSeq and is a predicted model, not a curated record. NCBI's taxonomy places the organism in Eukaryota, Metazoa, Chordata, Actinopteri, Esociformes, Esocidae. The transcript has 2 exons.